This 447-nucleotide ribosomal RNA is filed under the name uncultured prokaryote. Its description in RNAcentral is "partial 16S ribosomal RNA". The record is from RNAcentral.
CCCUAUGGGGCGCAGCAGGCAAUCCGAAGAGAUUAUUGAUUACUUGAAAAACAAGCAAAACAUGCAACAAAUUAUCUGCGGAGAUUUUAACCUGCUACCGCUUACGCAGAGCGUGACGAUGCUUGAAGACCUUGGCUACCGUAAUUUGAUAAAGGAUUAUUGUAUCUCAAGUACUCGAAAUGAGCUUGCCUGGGCCAGGCACCCAGACGGCGGACAACUUUUUGCCGAUUAUACAUUUAUAUCUGAUUUGAUAAGAGUAAAUGAGUUUAGGGUGCCAAAUCUACUAAUAUCCGACCAUUUGCCGAUGUUUGUGGAUUUUGAUAUUUAAAAAGCAAAAAACCACCCUGUACAGGUAGCUUGGUCUGGCUCGGCUUACAGGUCACGGAACAAUCACAGGGGUGGGGCACGCGAUGAGACAAAUGAGACACAAAACGCAUGUUUUAGAGC